Non-coding RNA from Rostrohypoxylon terebratum, 85 nucleotides. NCBI's taxonomy places the organism in Eukaryota, Fungi, Ascomycota, Sordariomycetes, Xylariales, Hypoxylaceae. The record is from the annotation of a GenBank genome assembly.
UUCGAAUUGGUGUAAUAGGCUAACACAUGACGAUGCUCUGAUUAAGUGAGCCCUCAAGCAUAGGGUUCGAAUCCCUGAUUCGAAU